This 507-nucleotide ribosomal RNA is filed under the name uncultured bacterium. RNAcentral's name for it is "partial 16S ribosomal RNA". It matches the Rfam family "Bacterial small subunit ribosomal RNA", at positions 28 to 507 of the family's 1533-position model. The record is from RNAcentral.
GACGAACGCUGGCGGCGUGCCUAAUACAUGCAAGUCGAACGCAUUUUCUUUCACCGUAGCUUGCUACACCGAAAGAAAAUGAGUGGCGAACGGGUGAGUAACACGUGGGUAACCUGCCCAUCAGCGGGGGAUAACACUUGGAAACAGGUGCUAAUACCGCAUAAUUUCAUUUACCGCAUGGUAGAUGGAUGAAAGGCGCUUUUGCGUCACUGAUGGAUGGACCCGCGGUGCAUUAGCUAGUUGGUGGGGUAACGGCCUACCAAGGCUGCGAUGCAUAGCCGACCUGAGAGGGUGAUCGGCCACACUGGGACUGAGACACGGCCCAGACUCCUACGGGAAGCAGCAGUAGGGAAUCUUCGGCAAUGGACACAAGUCUGACCGAGCAACGCCGCGUGAGUGAAGAAGGUUUUCGGAUCGUAAAACUCUGUUGUUAGAGAAGAACAAGGAUGAGAGUGGAAAGUUCAUCCCUUGACGGUAUCUAACCAGAAAGCCACGGCUAACUACGUG